RNAcentral lists this ribosomal RNA (253 nucleotides) under uncultured bacterium. Its description in RNAcentral is "partial 16S ribosomal RNA". It matches the Rfam family "Bacterial small subunit ribosomal RNA", at positions 524 to 776 of the family's 1533-position model. The record is from RNAcentral.
UACGUAGGGGGCAAGCGUUGUCCGGAAUUACUGGGCGUAAAGAGCGUGUAGGCGGCUUUGCAAGUCCGUUGUGAAAACUCGAGGCUCAACCUCGAGACGCCGGUGGAAACUGCAAAGCUAGAGUCCGGGAGAGGAGAGUGGAAUUCCAGGUGUAGCGGUGAAAUGCGCAGAUAUCAGGAAGAACACCAGUGGCGAAGGCGGCUCUCUGGGACGGUACUGACGCUGAGACGCGAAAGCGUGGGGAGCGAACAGG